Molecule: non-coding RNA, 2832 nt
Organism: Doryrhamphus excisus (bluestripe pipefish)
Lineage: Eukaryota; Metazoa; Chordata; Actinopteri; Syngnathiformes; Syngnathidae
Source: RefSeq, a predicted model, not a curated record
CCCGCGUCCGCCAUUUUGUGACUCAGCAAUUUUACAAAGUCAGCAUCGUUGGAUCAGGGAAAACAACAUUGUGUUUUCGGUUAAUAAAUGUGGACUUGCAAAGAGUGCAGUUUGGAAGUGGAUACCAGGACUUGGUGUUGAAACAUUUUAGGCAGGCGCAUGGGCAUCUUCGAGGUAGUUAUCGAUAUCCAUGUCCCUACACCGAUUGCCCUUGUACAUUUAACACAUGGAGUAAGCUAUCUCCAUCAAGCACUGGAGGGGCUGACCUAAUUGAGCUUGGUAACUUGGAAGAUCCAUAUCCGCUUGUUGAGUAUAUGGUUGGGGGUUUGCGGAUGUUGAUAUUGAAAAGAUUCAUCAUUGUCAGAGGUUAGUACAAUUUUUAAUAAUCAUCCACUGAUCAACUUAUAAUGCUGCUUUUUUCAUCCUCAUUUAGUAUAGCCUAGGAGUAGCCCUAAUGUUGACUGUAGGAGGCAACAUGACUCAGGAGGUAGAGUGGUUGUCUCUCAACCUGAAGGUUGUGGGUUUGAUCCUCCAUCCUCCCAUGUCUAAAUAUCCUUUGGGCAAGAUAUUAAACCCCCGUUUGCUCCUGAUGCAUCAGUAGGUAAAUGUGCUAACAGUAUCAAAGAGCCUUGGAGGUGGAAAAGCACUAUACAAGUGAAAGAGCUCCAAACAACGAUAAAGACAUUUUUUCAGCUGGCAGAAGAUUUCCGCCUCCAAUAUAUGGAUUCUGACUUCAAUGCUUUCAUGAACCUAACAGAUAUGUCAGAUGUUCAAGACAAAGGCACAGUGAAGGUAAUAUGCACGGCAACCAUGCUGCCUGAAGAACCUACCAUUAUGCUGUACCCAGUGGACCCAGGGCAGUUGAAUCCACACCCAACCUCACCUCCUGAAACAUCUCCCGACUCCCUCCUACCCCAAACCACUUCAUCAUUGGCUUCAUCCAGCAGUGAUGACACAGUCCACACAUCAACACCACAUUCAUCACCUCAAGUACAGCUCUCCAAGUGCUCCUGCUGGCCUAAGAUUUUUGUGGUCCCAAAGUUUUCAUAUGAGGCUGAGUUGGAGUUGCAGUAGAAAAAUAAUGAGUUUGCGAGAGAUGGCGUAUAUUUCAACCCAGGACCAAAACUUAAAGGACAAAUUCUUGAUGGACUGGCUCAAGAAAUAAUGAAAUACACAAAGUAUCCAAAAGAUUAUCAGUGUGAAGAGGUGGCUGAAGCCUUAACUAGAGCCCAUCCUUGUCUGGGGCAGUUGGGGAACAGGACAGGAUUUUGGGGUUGGAAACAGUCCCUGAAAUACAAGCUGCAGAACUAUCGGACAAAACUGGGGCGGCUAGGUGAUCCUGAAAUUCGUGUGUUUCAGUGUGAUGAAAUAGAUGCGAAGAGGGAGUGUGUGCUGAGGAGCCUGAUUAUCUACCUCAACGAGGAUCCAGCUUCCCUUGUCAAGGAGUACCUGGCAACUGCUAUUGAGGAUGCAGAAAAUGAUCUUGCAACAACUGUUAUGUGCAUUUUCGUUGUCAGAGAUGGUGAGUGUGACUUUCCUGAUAACAUAUGGGUUGUCAUUGAAGGAGUUAAAGUCCUCGCCAAUGUCAGAAGUGUCAUUAUGGCUUUUGCCUUGCUCUUUGGGCUUAUCUAUGCCUUGGAUCUCAGCUAUCCAGACAACCUAAAAUACACAUUUGAGUUUGUCCAGAAGAUUCUAAUGAAUAUGGAUGGACACAAACUCAAUGUGAAAAUACAACAGUUGAAAAUGAAGAUGUUCAUCUAAAUGGAGGUAUAAACUUUGGCCUAUUGUUUGUUCUGUUGCCUGUUGUCUAACAUGUUUAAACAUUUGAAAUUGCACUACUUUUCUAAACCUGUUUACCUCAAGAAACCAAGUGUGGAGGACCAAAUGGGACAGAAUGAAAUAGAUAAAUGCAUCUUUAAAUAAUUACAUGUCGGUAGUUAAAUUUUACAAAUCUUUAAAUUACUUAAAUUCGUCAUUACAUAAUACACCAUUAAGUAAUCAAAUGCGUCAAUAACUGUCUUUAAGUCAAAUAUCAGCUCAUUUACUGUAGAAACGUAAGUAUUUCAAAUUAUUUCACUAUUUAAUUAUUAUUAGUUAUUUUAAUAAUUUAGUUAAUUUUUUCACUAUAAUUGUUUCGUGGAGUUGUGGUUGCAUGUUUAUGAAUUGUGCGGAAAUAACUCCCAACACAAAAAAAUUCCUCUGACUUAUGUGAUCUCUAGAUCAGCAGAUCCUGCUUCCACAUACUCUGUAAGGUUUAAAAUACCUUUCACCAACUCCCGAGAAAGUUAGGAGUUUGUAUAACUUCUGGACUUCAGACCAUUCGACCAGAUUGACGUUAGUCACACCCACAGAUUUUGAUGGGUGUUUGUGAUACAUAAUUCAUGACGCUGCACCCCCAAAGCCAUGAAAUAAUUAAAUUAGUAAAUAAUUAAUCAAAUAAAUAAAUUGUGUAAUAAUUAUAUAUUGUUUUACAUUAAAAUAACUGGUAAUUCAACUAUUUGACACAUUUAGUUCUUUAGAGAUUGAUUUAUUUAAUUUUGUCCCAUUUGGUCCACCACACAUAAGUAGAAAUGUAAAGGUCUGCUAAAAUGUGGCUAUUGAUGCCAAUCCAAGCUAAGAAACUAUAUUAUUAUAUUACUAUAUUAGUAGUGACGCCAAUAUCAACAAUAUACCUCAGCCCAUCAUGAGCAGACAAUGUGGCAUUUGACAUAUUAGCACUUUGUAACUCACAAAUGAUAAAGGUUGCACUUUCCGUGGUUGAUCUGGUUAAAUUAUAUUUUAGGAUUGUUAUUUCUAAUAAUGACAAUUUUGGAAGGAAAGCUGCAUCAGUGC